RNAcentral lists this transfer RNA (76 nucleotides) under Campylobacter jejuni. RNAcentral describes it as "tRNA-Thr". It matches the Rfam family "tRNA". Rfam says of the family: Transfer RNA (tRNA) molecules are approximately 80 nucleotides in length. Their secondary structure includes four short double-helical elements and three loops (D, anti-codon, and T loops). RNAcentral also lists the same sequence under 5046 other names. Lineage: Bacteria; Pseudomonadati; Campylobacterota; Epsilonproteobacteria; Campylobacterales; Campylobacteraceae. The record is from RNAcentral.
GCCGGCCUAGCUCAAUUGGUAGAGCAACUGACUUGUAAUCAGUAGGUUGGGGGUUCAAGUCCUCUGGCCGGCACCA